AGUAGUGUAUGCUUCUCUUAAAGACUAAGCCAUGCAUGCCUUCGAAUAAGAGGAAGCAAUUCUCUCUGAAUCUGCGAACGGCUCCGCACACCAGUUGUAAACUAUUGCAAGCACACCUUGCUGUUCUUCGGAACGGCUCGGUACACGGAUAACCCUGGUAAUUCUGAGGCUAAUACGAGAACGUACAGCUCUUUCGACUAGAAAUAGAAGGAAGAGAGGUGUGUGAUCAAGCACGAAGAAGAGCUAGGAGAAGUUACACGCCUCGACUGCGCCAAAGACAAUCGGGAUUCCUCGCGUUUCUCGUUUGAGCAGCUCUUGCAUUGUGCUUCUGACCUAUCAACUAAACGACAGUGUAAUGUACGUGCAGUGGUUACAACGGGUACAGAGGAUAAGGGUUCGAUCCUGGAGAGUGGGCCUGAGAGAUUGCUCAUACUUCUAAGGAAGGCAGCAGGCGCGCAACGUUCCCCUUGUACAACGUAUGAGGGCGUUAGGAGACAUAUGAAUGUUUGCCUUUUAGGUGAACAAUUCAAAUGAGUUUGUUGUAAACAGGCUC
This 553-nucleotide ribosomal RNA is filed under the name Didymium nigripes. RNAcentral's name for it is "SSU rRNA". It matches the Rfam family "Eukaryotic small subunit ribosomal RNA", at positions 19 to 536 of the family's 1831-position model. The record is from RNAcentral. Lineage: Eukaryota; Evosea; Eumycetozoa; Physariida; Didymiaceae.